GAUGUGAUUUUUUUUCAGGUGAUGUUUCUCGAGUGACGUAAAAUCUAGUGGACGAGACGGGAGGUUUCUUCAACAACCAUCUCGAAAAUGAGGUCUGCUGUCCGGAGAAAGAAACUCCAGGGCUGAACAUUUACGUGAAAGAAGAAGAAUUUACUGUAAAAGAAGAAGAAUUUACUGUAAAAGAAGAGGACGUGGAGGAAGCUAUCACAGUGAAAGAAGAACAGGACGUUACAGUGAGGGAAGAGGAAGAAGCUUUCAGAGUGAAAGAAGAGGAUGUUAGAGUGAAAGAAGAGGAAGAAGCUUUCAGAGUGAAAGAGGAGGGGGAUGAACAGAAAGAGGAGGGUGCCGUGUUUGUAGUGAAAGAGGAGGAGGAGGUGACUGUCACAUUGAAAGAAGAGGAGCAACUUUUUGAAAUUAAGGAAGAGGGGAGAUUACUGUCACAUUGGAGGAGGAGGAAGAAGACAAGACUGGAGCUCUGAUGAACACCAGAGAGAGACUAGACUUUCAUUCUGACAGCGGGAAGAGUCCUUCAGGGGAACCAGACCCAGAGACGUCUAAACCAGCAAGACGACACCACUGCUCCCAGUGUGGAAAGAGUUUUUCUAGGUUAGGAAGCCUGAAAUCACAUGAAAGAAUACACACAGGAGAAAAGCCUUACCACUGCACUCAAUGUGGAAAUAGAUUUACCUCUUUAGGGACCCUGAAAGAUCACGUAAGAAAACAUACAGGAGAGAAGCCCCACCAAUGCUCCCAGUGUGAAAAAGAGUUU
Long non-coding RNA from Oncorhynchus keta (chum salmon), 769 nucleotides. RefSeq lists it as uncharacterized. The record is from RefSeq and is a predicted model, not a curated record. The transcript is spliced from 3 exons. Lineage: Eukaryota; Metazoa; Chordata; Actinopteri; Salmoniformes; Salmonidae.